RNAcentral lists this ribosomal RNA (298 nucleotides) under uncultured bacterium. RNAcentral describes it as "partial 16S ribosomal RNA". It matches the Rfam family "Bacterial small subunit ribosomal RNA", at positions 28 to 324 of the family's 1533-position model. The record is from RNAcentral.
GACGAACGCUGGCGGCGUGCUUAACACAUGCAAGUCGAGCGGUAAGGCCCUUUCGGGGGUACGACGAGCGGCGAACGGGUGAGUAACACGUGGGUGACCUGCCCUCAGCUCUGGGAUAAGCCCUGGGAAACUGGGUCUAAUACUGGAUAUGACUCCACGGUGCAUGUCGUGGGGUGGAAAGCCUUGUGCGGCUGAGGAUGGGCCCGCGGCCUAUCAGCUUGUUGGUGGGGUGAUGGCCUACCAAGGCGACGACGGGUAGCCGGCCUGACGAGGGCGACCGGCCACACUGGGACUGAGA